GGUGAACGCUGGCGGCGUGCCUAAUACAUGCAAGUCGAGCGAACGGACGAGAAGCUUGCUUCUCUGAUGUUAGCGGCGGACGGGUGAGUAACACGUGGAUAACCUACCUAUAAGACUGGGAUAACUUCGGGAAACCGGAGCUAAUACCGGAUAAUAUUUUGAACCGCAUGGUUCAAAAGUGAAAGACGGUCUUGCUGUCACUUAUAGAUGGAUCCGCGCUGCAUUAGCUAGUUGGUAAGGUAACGGCUUACCAAGGCAACGAUGCAUAGCCGACCUGAGAGGGUGAUCGGCGACACUGGAACUGGGACACGGUCCAGACUCCUACGGGAGGCAGCAGUAGGGAAUCUUCCGCAAUGGGCGAAAGCCUGACGGAGCAACGCCGCGUGAGUGAUGAAGGUCUUCGGAUCGGAAAACUCUGUUAUUAGGGAAGAACAUAUGUGUAAGUAACUGUGCACAUCUUGACGGUACCUAAUCAGAAAGCCACGGCUAACUACGUG
Molecule: ribosomal RNA, 497 nt
Filed under: uncultured bacterium
Lineage: Bacteria
Description: partial 16S ribosomal RNA
Rfam family: Bacterial small subunit ribosomal RNA
Source: RNAcentral